RNAcentral lists this ribosomal RNA (999 nucleotides) under Triticum aestivum (bread wheat). RNAcentral describes it as "partial small subunit ribosomal RNA". The record is from RNAcentral. Lineage: Eukaryota; Viridiplantae; Streptophyta; Magnoliopsida; Poales; Poaceae.
AUGACAACGACGUCGCCGGCCCCACCCACACGUGCCGUGCGUAUCAAUCGAACUCGGCAGGAAAAGGUGUCCUCCUCGCUUCCAUCUCCGGCGACGCGCGCGGCGGAGACGGACAGCUAUCGUCGAACGGACGGACGAAGGAACGAAGGAAGGUCGGUAGGAUCAGAGCUUGGUGUGGUCGCGGCACUCCUGGCUGCGGACGCCCAGCUCCGCGACGCCGAAUACGAAGCUGCAGUCGGAGUAGGCGACGGCGUGGCGCUUGAACACGCCGAACACCGCCACCCGCCCGGGGAUCCUGGUGCUGGCCUCCAGCGGCAGCGACCCGGUCUCCACGUCCGUGACCAGCUGCGCCAGGUCCCCGGCGAACCGGUCCGCCUGCAGCGUCAGCGCAAGCUUCACGUCCGCGUCCCCCUUGCUGGGGACGCGGCCGGGGUCGAUCUCGGCGUCGCCGACGUGGGCGCCGCGGUAGGUGAGGUCCGUGUGGCCGCCCGACGGGAAGGAGAAGGAGGCCGGGUUGGGGUUGUGCACGGACACCGUGAGGAGGAGGGUGACGUUGAGCUGGAUGUUGAGCGCCGGGAAGGUGAGGCGCGGGGCCACGCCGAUGAGGCGCGUGGAGACGAGCCGCGUGGUCGGGUCCCGGACGCGGAGCACGGUGAGGAAGAGGAUCAGGAGGACGACGGCGACGAGGACGAGGGUGACGGCCAGGCACGCGCAGCAGAGGCAGCCGCGGCGGCGCCGCAGGCGCUGCUUCUGGUGGCGCGGGUCGUCGACGGGCGGCUUGGAGGUGGCGGUGUGCGUCGGGAGGCCGCCGCCGGUAACGUUGCCGUAGCCGUUGGUGGACGCCAUUGGUUGGGGCAGGCUCGGGAUGCUGGGAGAGAUCGAGGGGGUUGCAAACUUGCAGUGGCGGCGAGCGUGCGUGGGUGCGUGCGUGGAGGCGGAGGCGGAGGUGGUUUGAUUCGAUUUUCCGGUGGGGAUGGAAGGAUAUCAAUGCCCGGAUGA